CUACGGGAUGCAGCAGUGGGGAAUAUUGGACAAUGGGGGAAACCCUGAUGCAGCAACGCCGCGUGGAGGAUGACACUUUUCGGAGCGUAAACUCCUUUUAUAUAGGAAGAAGAUGACGGUACUAUAUGAAUAAGCGCCGGCUAACUCCGUGCCAGCAGCCGCGGUAAUACGGAGGGCGCAAGCGUUACUCGGAAUCACUGGGCGUAAAGAGCGUGUAGGCGGAUUAAAAAGUCAGAAGUGAAAUCCUAUAGCUUAACUAUAGAACUGCUUCUGAAACUCUUAAUCUAGAAUAUGGGAGAGGUAGAUGGAAUUUCUGGUGUAGGGGUAAAAUCCGUAGAGAUCAGAAGGAAUACCGAUUGCGAAGGCGAUCUACUAGAACAUUAUUGACGCUGAGACGCGAAAGCGUGGGGAGCAAACAGGAUUGGAUACCCUCGUAGUC
RNAcentral lists this ribosomal RNA (439 nucleotides) under uncultured bacterium. RNAcentral's name for it is "partial 16S ribosomal RNA". It matches the Rfam family "Bacterial small subunit ribosomal RNA", at positions 339 to 795 of the family's 1533-position model. The record is from RNAcentral.